UAGAAAAAAACCAUUCCGUCUAAUGUACUGAUUAUAAACUCAUUUUAAUACACACCGUUAACAUUUACGUUGUUGUUCAUUUACAUUAAUACCAUAAUUGCUUUUCAGGAUUAUGAUUAUUCAGAUUAUUAACUACAUCAUUUGCACAACAGUACAUAUGGUUAAAGCUUGGAUAAUAGUUGAUGAAUAAUUGUAUAUAAUCCGUCUAUCGAAAGAUGUUGACAGUUUCCGUUCGGUGCAUCGUAUUUAUUGUUUAAAAAAAGUUCAGUACAUCAAGUUGGUUCAAGUGCUGCAAUUAAAAUUCCAUCCAAGUGAAAUGAAUAAUGGCUGACUUGCAGGGCUUGUUAUCAACCCCCUAAAUUUUCGGAACACCAAAAUUUCCGGUGGCCUAUGGUGCAGAAUUUUGUUUGGCACUAGGACGAUGAUCAGCCUUCCCUAAAAUGGGGAACAGACGCUGUUGUGAGCCGCUUCUAACAUGGAGAACAGACGUUCGAUUAGAUUUGGACCCCAGGAAAGGAUCAAACCUCCCACCUUCCCUGUCAGCGUACGACCCUAGUUCCCACCGGAGUUGGUGAUCCGAUCUUCCCUAAGGUGGCUCGUACACUGGCCAGCACCACGGGGAUGUAGGGAUAGCACGAUGAGAGUUGCUGGGUAAGAAGCUGAGGGCCACGAAAUUGGGUCUAUUUUAUUCCUUCAGGGGCGCGAAGUAACAAUGUGCAAUGAAGAUUCCAUCCAAGUGGAAUGAAUAAUGGCUGACUAGCAGGGCUUGUCACCAACCCCCUGAAUUUUCGGAAGACCUAAAUUUCCGGUGGCCUAUGGUGCACAAUUUUGCUUGAAGAUCCUCGCCGGCACUCGGACGAUGAUCAGCCUCUCCUAAAAUAGGGAACAGAUGCUGGUGUGAGCCGCUUCUAACAUGGAGAAUAGACGCUCGAUUAGAUUUGGAUCCCAGGAAAGGAUCAAACCUCCCCCUUCCCUGUCAGCGUACGACCCUAGUUCCCACCGGAGUUGGUUACCCGAUCUUCCCUAAGGUGGCUCGUACACCGGCCAGCACCACGAAGAUGUAGGGAUAGGACGAUGGGAGUUGCUGGGUAAGAAGCUGAGGGCCACGAGAUUAGGUCUAUUUUAUUCCUUCAGGUGCGUGAAGUACCAAUGCUACGCUUUACCAUCCAUUUGCCGUGAUUUAAAUCUAUUUUUUUAUUAUCUUAUAAGUUUUAUUGAUAUUUUUAAAUAAAUUGUCUGUAAGUUGAUGUCUCAGUUUAUAUAAAUGAUUAUUAAGAUGAAAGAAAUUGAAAAUAAAUUCUGAAGCAAUAAUAUAA
Molecule: long non-coding RNA, 1316 nt
Organism: Armigeres subalbatus
Lineage: Eukaryota; Metazoa; Arthropoda; Insecta; Diptera; Culicidae
Exons: 3
Source: RefSeq, a predicted model, not a curated record